GUGAAGUUGGGGUUAGUAUUUUGCAUGUUUUGUUCGAUAAUUUGUUUACAGUUUAGUGCAAACUAUGGUCACGAUCGGUGUUAUUGUUGGUUGUUAAAAUAUUGUGAGUGCUCUAUACGCAAAUGAAUAUUCAAGAUGUUAUAUUCUAAAAGAUAUUAGUGGAUGCAGAUAAGAGUGUUUAGUGAGUGCUAUGUUUGAAUAUUGCAAGUGAAAACACAGCCUAUCGAUGUAAUGCGCCGAUAAAUUAUCAUGACUCCAUUGAUGUAAUGCGCUUAAAAACUGCAAUGGCUCCGAAUACAUGAUUACCAGAUAACAAAUCCUGGCGCAGCUUACGUGUGUUCUUCAAUAACGUCGCAAGCUACAGUGGCUGUUGAUAAUUUUUGCAAGUUCUACACCUACAGGAUUCAGUUAUCUGGGCAUUAUAGAUACCCUAUAAUCACCUACGAAGUUAUUUAGGUAUAUUUAUUAAAACCAUUAUACAAGGUGUGGCAAAAAGGGUAUACUAAGCUGAAAGCUACAUGUGCAGCAUGGUAUAUCUAAGCCCGAAACUGAAAACAGAAUUUAAAUAUU
This is a long non-coding RNA of Plutella xylostella (diamondback moth), 570 nucleotides long. RefSeq lists it as uncharacterized. The record is from RefSeq and is a predicted model, not a curated record. NCBI's taxonomy places the organism in Eukaryota, Metazoa, Arthropoda, Insecta, Lepidoptera, Plutellidae.